CCAGAGGAAAAGAAUUGUUGCACAGA
This 26-nucleotide non-coding RNA is filed under the name Cricetulus griseus (Chinese hamster). Lineage: Eukaryota; Metazoa; Chordata; Mammalia; Rodentia; Cricetidae. The record is from RNAcentral.